GCGUGAGUGAUGAAGGCCCUAGGGUUGUAAAGCUCUUUCGCCAGGGACGAUAAUGACUGUACCUGGAGAAGAAGCCCCGGCUAACUUCGUGCCAGCAGCCGCGGUAAUACGAAGGGGGCUAGCGUUGUUCGGAAUCACUGGGCGUAAAGCGCACGUAGGCGGACCGUUAAGUCGGAGGUGAAAGCCUGGGGCUCAACCCCAGAAUUGCCUUCGAUACUGCCGGUCUCGAGUGUGGGAGAGGUUGGUGGAACUCCGAGUGUAGAGGUGAAAUUCGU
RNAcentral lists this ribosomal RNA (275 nucleotides) under uncultured bacterium. Its description in RNAcentral is "partial 16S ribosomal RNA". It matches the Rfam family "Bacterial small subunit ribosomal RNA", at positions 399 to 691 of the family's 1533-position model. The record is from RNAcentral.